CUAGCGUAUAUUAAAGUUGUUGCAGUUAAAAAGCUCGUAGUUGGAUUUCUGGGAGGGUGCCAAUGUCCGUCGUCGUACGUGUUGCAGCGGCGCCCUUCCAUCCUUCUGUUAACAACUUUGGGCAUUCACUUGCCGGAGUCGGGCUCAGAUAUUUUACCUUGAGAAAAUUAGAGUGUUUCAGGCAGGCUAGGCCGGAAUACAUUAGCAUGGAAUAAUGGAAUAGGACUACGGUCUCUUUGUUGGUUUGAGGGACUGCAGUAAUGAUUAAUAGGGAUAGUUGGGGGCAUUAGUAUUUAAUUGUCAGAGGUGGAAUUCUCGGAUUUGUUAAAGACUAACUUAUGCGAAAGCAUUUGCCAGGAUGUUUUCAUUAAUCAAGAACAAAAGUUAGGGGAUCAAAGACGAUCAGAUACCGUCCUAGUCUUAACCAUAAACUAUGCCGACUCGGGAUCGGGGGCGCGAACUAUCCGCCUUCGGCACCGUAUGAGAAAUCAAAGUCUUU
This 499-nucleotide ribosomal RNA is filed under the name uncultured marine picoplankton. Its description in RNAcentral is "SSU rRNA". It matches the Rfam family "Eukaryotic small subunit ribosomal RNA", at positions 594 to 1108 of the family's 1831-position model. The record is from RNAcentral.